Non-coding RNA from Gossypium raimondii (Peruvian cotton), 135 nucleotides. Lineage: Eukaryota; Viridiplantae; Streptophyta; Magnoliopsida; Malvales; Malvaceae. The record is from Rfam.
CAUUAAAAAUUUCAUCAAUUUCUAUCGUUAAAACCUGGUGUGGCUGGUGGAAUAACCAGACAGUUACACGUGGCGUGCUUAUGCUGAUGUAGAUGGACCAGUUUUUAACAGUAAGAGUGGAUGAAAGUUUUAACA